Long non-coding RNA from Hypanus sabinus (Atlantic stingray), 616 nucleotides. RefSeq lists it as uncharacterized. NCBI's taxonomy places the organism in Eukaryota, Metazoa, Chordata, Chondrichthyes, Myliobatiformes, Dasyatidae. The record is from RefSeq and is a predicted model, not a curated record. The transcript has 4 exons.
UUACUUGUCACAUGCACUUUGAAACUCUGAAAGACACAGGAAAAUGCCUUGUUCGUGUCGAUGACCAGCACGGUCCGAGGAAGUGUCGCUCCCCCUCCGCAGCCAACAUCGCGUUCCCACAACUUACUAACUGUAACCCGUACGUCUUCGGACUGUGGGAGGAAACCCACGCGGUCACUGGGGAGAAUGUACAAACUCCGUACCACCAGCGGCAGAAGUUGAACCCUGAUUGCGAUCACUGGCGCUUUCUAAUAGCCUCCGAAGAGGUCAUGUCAACCUGACCUCCUGCUGGAAGAACUGAGCGGUCCGAGCAGCAUCCACGGUGGUCUGUUGGACUCGAAGAGGAGAACAAAAGAAAAGAGGAAGUGUUUGUGGUGCUGAUGCAAGGGUUCUGUCCGUGUGUCUGUGCCUUCUAGAUGUUGCCCUGAGACGGACCGGGAACAACAUGAUGAACGACCAGGAGGAGGAGGAGUUCAUCACCGUGAGGGUGCAGGAUCCACAGGUGCAAGAUCCAGGCUCUUGGGCCCCCUAUAUCGAUUAUAAAAUAUUCCUCUAUAUGCUGUCUGACUUUCAGAAUCUCCACUGUUCACUGUGGGAACACACACACACAAAAUGC